AGUGAACGCUGGCGGUAGGCCUAACACAUGCAAGUCGAACGGCAGCACAGUAAGAGCUUGCUCUUACGGGUGGCGAGUGGCGGACGGGUGAGGCAUACAUCGGAAUCUACUUUUUCGUGGGGGAUAACGUAGGGAAACUUACGCUACUACCGCAUACGGCCUACGGGUGAAAGCAGGGGAUAUUCGGACCUUGCGCGUUUGAUUGAGCCGAGGUCGGAGUAGCUAGGUGGCGGGGUAACGGCCCACCAAGGCGACGAUCCGUAGCUGGUCUGAGAGGGUGAUCAGCCACACUGGAACUGAGACACGGUCCAGACUCCUACGGGAGGCAGCAGUGGGGAAUAUUGGACAAUGGGCGCAAGCCUGAUCCAGCCAUACCGCGUGGGUGAAGAAGGCCUUCGGGUUGUAAAGCCCUUUUGUUGGGAAAGAAAAGCAGCAGGUUAAUACCCCGCUGUUCUGACGGUACCCAAAGAAUAAGCACCGGCUAACUUCGUG
RNAcentral lists this ribosomal RNA (492 nucleotides) under uncultured bacterium. Its description in RNAcentral is "partial 16S ribosomal RNA". It matches the Rfam family "Bacterial small subunit ribosomal RNA", at positions 29 to 507 of the family's 1533-position model. The record is from RNAcentral.